Molecule: ribosomal RNA, 253 nt
Filed under: uncultured bacterium
Lineage: Bacteria
Description: partial 16S ribosomal RNA
Rfam family: Bacterial small subunit ribosomal RNA
Source: RNAcentral
UACGUAGGUGGCAAGCGUUGUCCGGAUUUACUGGGCGUAAAGAGCGCGCAGGCGGUCGUUCAAGUCGCGUGUGAAAGCCCCCGGCUCAACUGGGGAGGGUCACGCGAUACUGAUCGACUCGAAGGCAGGAGAGGGUAGUGGAAUUCCCGGUGUAGUGGUGAAAUGCGUAGAUAUCGGGAGGAACACCAGAGGCGAAGGCGACUACCUGGCCUGUUCUUGACGCUGAGGCGCGAAAGCUAGGGGGGCAAACGGG